Molecule: ribosomal RNA, 771 nt
Filed under: bacterium IARFR1851
Lineage: Bacteria
Description: bacterial SSU rRNA
Rfam family: Bacterial small subunit ribosomal RNA
Source: RNAcentral
GCAAGUCGAACGGGAUCCCAGGAGCUUGCUCCUGGGUGAGAGUGGCGAACGGGUGAGUAAUGCGUGACCGACCUGCCCCAUACACCGGAAUAGCUCCUGGAAACGGGUGGUAAUGCCGGAUGCUCCAGUUGACCGCAUGGUCCUCUGGGAAAGAUUCUUCGGUAUGGGAUGGGGUCGCGUCCUAUCAGCUUGAUGGCGGGGUAACGGCCCACCAUGGCUUCGACGGGUAGCCGGCCUGAGAGGGCGACCGGCCACAUUGGGACUGAGAUACGGCCCAGACUCCUACGGGAGGCAGCAGUGGGGAAUAUUGCACAAUGGGCGCAAGCCUGAUGCAGCGACGCCGCGUGCGGGAUGACGGCCUUCGGGUUGUAAACCGCUUUUGACUGGGAGCAAGCCCUUCGGGGUGAGUGUACCUUUCGAAUAAGCACCGGCUAACUACGUGCCAGCAGCCGCGGUAAUACGUAGGGUGCAAGCGUUAUCCGGAAUUAUUGGGCGUAAAGGGCUCGUAGGCGGUUCGUCGCGUCCGGUGUGAAAGUCCAUCGCUUAACGGUGGAUCCGCGCCGGGUACGGGCGGGCUUGAGUGCGGUAGGGGAGACUGGAAUUCCCGGUGUAACGGUGGAAUGUGUAGAUAUCGGGAAGAACACCAAUGGCGAAGGCAGGUCUCUGGGCCGUCACUGACGCUGAGGAGCGAAAGCGUGGGGAGCGAACAGGAUUAGAUACCCUGGUAGUCCACGCCGUAAACGGUGGAUGCUGGAUGUGGGGACCAUUCUC